AACGAACGCUGGCGGCAGGCCUAACACAUGCAAGUCGAACGCCCUAGCAAUAGGGAGUGGCAGACGGGUGAGUAACACGUGGGAACCUUCCCUAUAGUACGGAAUAUACCAGGGAAACUUGGAGCAAUACCGUAUACGCCCGAGAGGGGAAAGAUUUAUCGCUAUAGGAUGGGCCCGCGUAGGAUUAGCUAGUUGGUGAGGUAAUGGCUCACCAAGGCGACGAUCCUUAGCUGGUUUGAGAGAACGACCAGCCACACUGGGACUGAGACACGGCCCAGACUCCUACGGGAGGCAGCAGUGGGGAAUAUUGGACAAUGGGCGCAAGCCUGAUCCAGCCAUGCCGCGUGAGUGAUGAAGGCCUUAGGGUUGUAAAGCUCUUUUGCCGGGGACGAUAAUGACGGUACCCGGAGAAUAAGUCCCGGCUAACUUCGU
Molecule: ribosomal RNA, 432 nt
Filed under: uncultured bacterium
Lineage: Bacteria
Description: bacterial SSU rRNA
Rfam family: Bacterial small subunit ribosomal RNA
Source: RNAcentral